Molecule: long non-coding RNA, 661 nt
Organism: Anguilla anguilla (European eel)
Lineage: Eukaryota; Metazoa; Chordata; Actinopteri; Anguilliformes; Anguillidae
Exons: 3
Source: RefSeq, a predicted model, not a curated record
AGUGACCUUUUUCAAUGACCAUAAAAUCCCAUUUGCCAACAUAGUCAGUAUGAUGAUGGACUCCUGUAACGUAAUGCAAGGGAGCAAGUCCGGGCUGGAGACCAGAAUAAGAGAAAAGUACUGCCAGAACCUCCUGGAUGUUGAUGGAGAUUCCUGCCACCACAUCCACAAUGACGCCAAACAGUUUGCUGCGCCCUUUGGCCACCACCUCGAGUAGCUCUUCGCUGACCUCCACACAGACCACCAGUGGGCUUCAGACCAGGUGGUACCUGAUGGAGAUCUGUGAGUUCAUGGGCAUUCCAGGCACCAACCCACAGCGGUUUGUCGCGGAUCGGUGGCUUUCAGAAUAUGAUGUGGGCAUCAGCACUCGCCGAAUGUUGCCUGCAUACAAGGUGCUGUACUUCGGAUUCCUCAGUCAGGCAGACUAUACCCUUUACAAAGAAGUCCUUGAGGAGAUCUACAAGGACCAUGGUGUUGGUGAGCGGGCAGAGGCCAGGAUCCAGUAUUUCCACCAGGACCUCAGAAAUAAGGAAUGAUGCAAGUUGGGAAGGACAGAAAAGAAAGGGUGGUGAAGAAGCUCUGGUUCGAGAGUCGCAAUACGGACCUCCAGCUGAGCGUUUACCUUGGUGUCCUUCCCAUCCUGAAGGAGUAUGUGAUGGUG